RNAcentral lists this small nuclear RNA (20 nucleotides) under Arabidopsis thaliana (thale cress). RNAcentral describes it as "snRNA_17125". Lineage: Eukaryota; Viridiplantae; Streptophyta; Magnoliopsida; Brassicales; Brassicaceae. The record is from RNAcentral.
CGGCUGGAAGAGCACCGCAC